RNAcentral lists this transfer RNA (54 nucleotides) under Malassezia furfur. RNAcentral's name for it is "partial tRNA-Lys". The record is from RNAcentral. Lineage: Eukaryota; Fungi; Basidiomycota; Malasseziomycetes; Malasseziales; Malasseziaceae.
AAAAGCUACUAGAGUGUAACUUUUAUUUUUUGGCGUGAGUCGAGUCUCACUGUU